UGCAGCAACGCCGCGUGAGGGAUGACGGCCUCUCGGGUUGUAAACCUCUUUUAGCAGGGAAGAAGCGAAAGUGACGGUACCUGCAGAAAAAGCGCCGGCUAACUACGUGCCAGCAGCCGCGGUAAUACGUAGGGCGCAAGCGUUAUCCGGAAUUAUUGGGCGUAAAGAGCUCGUAGGCGGUUUGUCGCGUCUGCUGUGAAAUCCCGAGGCUCAACUUCGGGUCUGCAGUGGGUACGGGCAGACUAGAGUGCGGUAGGGGAGAUUGGAAUUCCUGGUGUAGCGGUGGAAUGCGCAGAUAUCAGGAGGAACACCGAUGGCGAAGGCAGAUCUCUGGGCCGUAACUGACGCUGAGGAGCGAAAGGGUGGGGAGCAAACAGGCUUAGAUACCCUGGUAGUCCACCCCGUAAACGUUGGGAACUAGUUGUGGGGUCCAUUCCACGGAUUCCGUGACGCAGCUAACGCAUUAAGUUCCCCGCCUGGGGAGUACGGCCGCAAGGCUAAAACUCAAAGGAAUUGACGGGGACCCGCACAAGCGGCGGAGCAUGCGGAUUAAUUCGAUGCAACGCGAAGAACCUUACCAAGGCUUGACAUAUACGAGAACGCUGCAGAAAUGUAGAACUCU
RNAcentral lists this ribosomal RNA (622 nucleotides) under Microbacterium sp. Ri3Pw_6334. RNAcentral describes it as "bacterial SSU rRNA". It matches the Rfam family "Bacterial small subunit ribosomal RNA", at positions 387 to 1017 of the family's 1533-position model. Lineage: Bacteria; Bacillati; Actinomycetota; Actinomycetes; Micrococcales; Microbacteriaceae. The record is from RNAcentral.